Molecule: ribosomal RNA, 497 nt
Filed under: uncultured bacterium
Lineage: Bacteria
Description: partial 16S ribosomal RNA
Rfam family: Bacterial small subunit ribosomal RNA
Source: RNAcentral
GAUGAACGCUGGCGGCGUGCCUAAUACAUGCAAGUCGAGCGAACAGACGAGGAGCUUGCGCCUCUGUCGGUAGCGGCGGACGGGUGAGUAACACGUGGAUAACCUACCUAUAAGACUGGGAUAAAUUAGGUAAACCGGAUCAAAUACCUGAUAAUAUAUUGAAUCGCGUGGUUCAAUAGUAAGAUACGGGUUUUCUUUGUCUUAGAGGUGGAUCCGCGCCGCUUGAUCUUGUGGGGAAGGUCACGGCUUACCAAGGCGACGAUGCGUAGCCGAUCUGAGGGGGGGAUAAGCCACACUGGAACUGAGACACGGCCCAGACUACUACGGGAGGCAGCAGAAGGGAAUCGAACGCAAUGGGAGGAAGCAUGACGGAGCACAGCCACGUGAGUGAUGAAGGUCUUGGGAUCGUAAAACUCUGUUAUUAGGGAAGAACAAAUGUGUAAGUAACUAUGAACGUCUUGACGGUACCUAAUCAGAAAGCCACGGCUAACUACGUG